Molecule: long non-coding RNA, 572 nt
Organism: Glycine soja
Lineage: Eukaryota; Viridiplantae; Streptophyta; Magnoliopsida; Fabales; Fabaceae
Exons: 3
Source: RefSeq, a predicted model, not a curated record
UUUUCAGUAUAUAAAUACAGUCACCAUUCACGUUUCCUCGCAGACACGUUACUUGAUUCAAAAGUAGUACAAGAUUCUUGGGCUCAUAGGGUUGACACUCCAACCUCCCUAGUCGCCACCGAUGACGUCAAGAUCGAUCUCUUCGAAGACGAUGAUGAGUUUGAAGAGUUUGAAAUCAAUGAAGAGUGGGAUGACAAGGAGGAAGGAAAAGAAGUGACUCAGCAGUGGGAGGAUGAUUGGGAUGAUGAUGAUGUUAGUGAUGAUUUUUCUCUCCAGUUGAAAAGGGAGCUGGAGAGCAACACUAAUUAGAAUUAAACCACCUGGUAGUUAUUAUUGCUUGAUAUAACAUGCUAUAUGACUUGGGUGUUUAAGCUCUAGGAAGGAAACUGAAAAUGAAAAAUAUGCCUUGGUAGGAAGGAAAUGUAAGACUGUAAGAACACAUAAUAGGGACGUAGUUUUUCUGUUCUUGAACAUCUGUGUAGAAGUUAUUGAGUGCUUGUACUUAAAUUGAAUUCUGCAUAAGGCUUUAAAGAUUUGAUUUACAAUCUCAAAUUAUUUGCACUUAAUCUUCA